CCCUCUAUGCUUACGGCCAGGGCUACACACGUGCUACAAUGGCGCGUACAGAGGGCUGCAAGCUAGCGAUAGUGAGCGAAUCCCAAAAAGCGCGUCGUAGUCCGGAUCGGAGUCUGCAACUCGACUCCGUGAAGUCGGAAUCGCUAGUAAUCGCAAAUCAGAAUGUUGCGGUGAAUACGUUCCCGGGCCUUGUACACACCGCCCGUCACACCAUGGGAGUGGGUUGCACCAGAAGUAGAUAGCUUAACCUUCGGGAGGGCGUUUACCACGGUGUGAUUCAUGACUGGGGUGAAGUCGUAACAAGGUAACCCUAGGGGAACCUGCGGUUGGAUUCACCUCCUAA
RNAcentral lists this ribosomal RNA (343 nucleotides) under Aeromonas hydrophila. RNAcentral's name for it is "bacterial SSU rRNA". It matches the Rfam family "Bacterial small subunit ribosomal RNA", at positions 1192 to 1533 of the family's 1533-position model. Lineage: Bacteria; Pseudomonadati; Pseudomonadota; Gammaproteobacteria; Aeromonadales; Aeromonadaceae. The record is from RNAcentral.